This 177-nucleotide antisense RNA is filed under the name Escherichia coli. Its description in RNAcentral is "Antisense to pHK01_099". It matches the Rfam family "Antisense to pHK01_099". From Rfam's summary of the family: The pHK01 produces plasmid-encoded small RNAs and mediates expression of host sRNAs. The overexpression of AS-traI shortened the log phase of host growth. Lineage: Bacteria; Pseudomonadati; Pseudomonadota; Gammaproteobacteria; Enterobacterales; Enterobacteriaceae. The record is from RNAcentral.
GCCAGACAUUAUAAAAAAGCAAAUCCUGUAAACUCCAUUCAGCCUCCUUGCUGUCCGGUAACGGAGGCUGUUUUUUCGUUACGCCUUUCCCCGGCAGCAUCAGUAGCAGUAAUUUAUAGAUUCUACGAACUGAGACUGUCUGUCCGGGGAGAACGUACACAGCCCGACACAAUGUAC